This is a long non-coding RNA of Chenopodium quinoa (quinoa), 872 nucleotides long. RefSeq lists it as uncharacterized. The record is from RefSeq and is a predicted model, not a curated record. Lineage: Eukaryota; Viridiplantae; Streptophyta; Magnoliopsida; Caryophyllales; Amaranthaceae. The transcript has 2 exons.
AAUCCAUUAUCAAGUCAUGUCAUUUCAAAUCCAAUUUUUCUCCCAUAUCCCUCUUUCUCUCUCCACGAUAUUUUCUGAGAAAAUUUUGCCCUCAAUUCUUUCUCUCUUUCCUACCUCUCUCUCCUGUGCUGCCAUUAGAGAAGCUGAGGUCAAGCUUUUUCUUUCCUCGGUAGACAUUAGAGGAAGUUCAAGUUUCGAAGCUCUAGUAUUGGACACAGUGUGUUCACCAAUUUCUCUCCAAUCUCUUUCCUCAGCACUAAACUCCCCAAGCCACUACAUAUCAGAACAAAUUCAUUGAGAAUUGGGACGAUAUUUGUACUUUGUUUGCUUCGGAUAGAGCAACUGGUGACGGAGCUGAGCAUCAUGAUGAGGCUGCUGCUGCAAUGGACACCGAAAUUGAAGGGAUUAGUACCUCCGAGACUUCUUCCAGAGGAUCAAACAAGAGGCUCAAGAGAGAUCGUCUAGCAGAUGCAGUGAGUUGUUUUGCAGAGUCGUUAGCAGAGCGCAAGGGCCACUAAACCAAGUUCACAAGAGAUCUACGAGGUAGUCUCGAGUGUACUUGGGAUUUCGCGUUACCAAGUCCUAAAAGCUGUGAAAAGGUUCAUGAAUGGGACGGUUGAUGAGUUCGAAAUGUUAAAAAACCUACCGGAAGGUGAAAAAUUAUAUUGGGUUUUAUUAUGUAUUAAUGAAGCAUUUUUAUUUAGAUGUUUGUGAACUAAAGCUACUAGCUAGAUGUUGAUAUGUUGUCUUUUUGUUGAGAGUUUGUUAGCAAAAUGUACCUUGGUUUGAAAUUUAGGAUUUGAACAUCCUUGUAUUUCCAAACAGCUAUUAGCAUUUGAUAUUCAAGAUUUGAAAUUUCUUGUCUUGCCAAA